This 801-nucleotide ribosomal RNA is filed under the name Triticum aestivum (bread wheat). Its description in RNAcentral is "partial small subunit ribosomal RNA". The record is from RNAcentral. Lineage: Eukaryota; Viridiplantae; Streptophyta; Magnoliopsida; Poales; Poaceae.
AUGGAUUUCGACGAGAACGGCCUAGCGGACACAUUGAUCGUCUCGGUCGUCAUCAACUUCAUGCUGCAUGGCUUCAAAUCGUAUGCCGGCACCCACAUCACCCUUGAAAUCCUCGACGAGACCGGAGAGCACACCGUCUUCCACAAGGAGAGCAGCCGGGACACGAUAGGUAAACAAACCAAGGGUAGCUUUAUCCUGUGCGUGAGGAGGAGGGAGCUGGAGGCAUCCUCGUGCGUGUCUGCCAGCUACGACAAAUUCACCGUCAGAUGCACUCUGAAGAAGAUGCAGCAGGCAACAAAGCGGCGGUGCCUCUUUGGAAGCUUGCGCAAAUCCAACGCCGUAUUGGAGCCGCCGAAGGUCGCCAUGGUUGGCUCCCACACGCUCACCGUGCGCAGCGUCUCCGAGCUCAGUGCGACGCUGAGGAACGGGGAGUGCAUCUACUCCACGCACUUCGCUGUUGGCGGGAGCACAUGGUACCUCAAAUUCUGCCCAAGAUGGGGCAUCCUGUGGCUCGUCUUCGCAAGCAAGGGGGACGAGAUGACACCGACAACGGCGGAGUUCAGCUUCGAGUUCGAGGGGCUGGUGAACUUGGAGUCCCAGAAGACGAGGCACACGUUUGACCGUGACAACGAUGACUUCUACUACCAUCUGAAGUACACCGGAACAUCGCCCACGCAGGACGACCGCCUCGUUGUUCGCUGCUGCCUCGCCGUUGUCACGCCGGAGGAAGUUCGGACCACCAUCCCAACGUGCAGCACCGAAUCAGUGCUAACUCCACUGCUCAGCGCCAUGCAUUGCUAG